RNAcentral lists this ribosomal RNA (253 nucleotides) under uncultured bacterium. RNAcentral describes it as "partial 16S ribosomal RNA". It matches the Rfam family "Bacterial small subunit ribosomal RNA", at positions 524 to 776 of the family's 1533-position model. The record is from RNAcentral.
UACGUAGGUGGCAAGCGUUGUCCGGAAUUAUUGGGCGUAAAGCGCGCGCAGGCGGUCCUUUAAGUCUGAUGUGAAAGCCCACGGCUCAACCGUGGAGGGUCAUUGGAAACUGGGGGACUUGAGUGCAGGAGAGAAGAGUGGAAUUCCACGUGUAGCGGUGAAAUGCGUAGAUAUCUGGAGGAACACCGGUGGCGAAGGCGGCAUCCUGGACCGGUAUUGACGCUGAGGCGCGAAAGCCAGGGGAGCAAACGGG